CGGCGGACGGGUGAGUAACGCGUGGGUAACCUGCCUCAUACAGGGGGAUAACAGUUGGAAACGGCUGCUAAUACCGCAUAAGCGCACAGUACCGCAUGGUACGGUGUGAAAAACUCCGGUGGUAUGAGAUGGACCCGCGUCUAAUUAGGUAGUUGGUGGGGUAACGGCCUACCAAGCCGACGAUCAGUAGCCGACCUGAGAGGGUGACCGGCCACAUUGGGACUGAGACACGGCCCAA
Molecule: ribosomal RNA, 238 nt
Filed under: uncultured bacterium
Lineage: Bacteria
Description: partial 16S ribosomal RNA
Rfam family: Bacterial small subunit ribosomal RNA
Source: RNAcentral